AGUUAGACAACGAGUUUCUUGAAAGUGACUUUAUGUGUGUCAGUCAACGUAACAGUUAAGCAGAGUUACCUAGUUUCUAAAGUGUAUACCUACUUUGUGUUGUUUAAUAACAAACAGCGCGUAUUUAAAGAAUUUUCAGAAUAUCGUCUGAAUAGGAAGUCCUGUUUUAAAUAACCGGAAAAUGACGUGUAGAAACAAGAUGACAAAUUGGACGCAGCUAUUUUUGUUUUUCUUUUCAUAUAAUAUAAUAAUGUUUACCGGAACAGCCGCUUCUGUGCAAGUUCCGAAAAUAAAAUUGAAUAAUGGAAUCGAAAUGCCUGUGCUUGGACUAGGAACA
Long non-coding RNA from Agrilus planipennis (emerald ash borer), 337 nucleotides. RefSeq lists it as uncharacterized. The record is from RefSeq and is a predicted model, not a curated record. The transcript is spliced from 3 exons. Lineage: Eukaryota; Metazoa; Arthropoda; Insecta; Coleoptera; Buprestidae.